UCUAAGCCUUGCAAAUGAAACUGAAUUUC
Molecule: non-coding RNA, 29 nt
Filed under: Homo sapiens (human)
Lineage: Eukaryota; Metazoa; Chordata; Mammalia; Primates; Hominidae
Source: RNAcentral